GAGUAACACUUGGGUAACCUGCCCGUACCUACUGGGUAUAACUCUCGGGGAAACCGGGGCUAAUACCGGAUAACAUUUUGAACCGCAUGGUUCGGAAUUGAAUGGCGGCUUCGGCUGUCACUUACGGAUGGACCCGCUUCGCCUUAAAUAGUUGGUGAGGUAACGGCUCACCCAGGCAACGAUGCGUAGCCGACCUGAGAGGGUGAUCGGGCCCACUGGGACUGAGACACGGCCCAGACUCCUACGGGAGGCAGCAGUAUGGAAUCUUCCGCAAUGGACGAAAGUCUGACGGAGCAACGCCCCGUGAGUGAUGAAGGCUUUCGGGUCGUAAAACUCUGUUGUUAGGGAAGAACAAGUGCUAGUUGAAUAAGCUGGGACCUUGACGGUACCUAACCAGAAAGCCACGGCUAACUACGUGCCAGCAGCCGCGGUAAUACGUAGGUGGCAAGCGUUAUCCGGAAUUAUUGGGCGUAAAGCGCGCGCAGGUGGUUUCUUAAGUCUGAUGUGAAAGCCCACGGCUCAACCGUGGAGGGUCAUUGGAAACUGGGAGACUUGAGUGCAGAACAGGAAAGUGGAAUUCCAUCGUGUAGCGGGUGAAA
RNAcentral lists this ribosomal RNA (599 nucleotides) under Bacillus cereus. Its description in RNAcentral is "bacterial SSU rRNA". It matches the Rfam family "Bacterial small subunit ribosomal RNA", at positions 108 to 686 of the family's 1533-position model. Lineage: Bacteria; Bacillati; Bacillota; Bacilli; Caryophanales; Bacillaceae. The record is from RNAcentral.